CUGCUGCCUUCCGUAGGAGUUUGGGCCGUGUCUCAGUCCCAAUGUGGCCGUCCACCCUCUCAGGCCGGCUACUGAUCGUCGCCUUGGUGGGCCUUUACCCCGCCAACCAGCUAAUCAGACGCGGGUCCAUCUUGCACCACCGGAGUUUUUCACACUGUCCCAUGCAGGACCGUGCGCUUAUGCGGUAUUAGCACCUAUUUCUAAGUGUUAUCCCCCAGUGCAAGGCAGGUUACCCACGCGUUACUCACCCGUCCGCCAA
This 259-nucleotide ribosomal RNA is filed under the name uncultured bacterium. Its description in RNAcentral is "partial 16S ribosomal RNA". The record is from RNAcentral.